Molecule: non-coding RNA, 21 nt
Filed under: Arabidopsis thaliana (thale cress)
Lineage: Eukaryota; Viridiplantae; Streptophyta; Magnoliopsida; Brassicales; Brassicaceae
Source: RNAcentral
GCGGCAGACACGCAAAGUGCC